RNAcentral lists this ribosomal RNA (468 nucleotides) under uncultured bacterium. Its description in RNAcentral is "partial 16S ribosomal RNA". It matches the Rfam family "Bacterial small subunit ribosomal RNA", at positions 28 to 507 of the family's 1533-position model. The record is from RNAcentral.
GACGAACGCUGGCGGCGUGCUUAACACAUGCAAGUCGAACGGAAAGGCCCUGCUUUUGUGGGGUGCUCGAGUGGCGAACGGGUGAGUAACACGUGAGUAACCUGCCCUUGACUUUGGGAUAACUUCAGGAAACUGGGGCUAAUACCGGAUAGGAGCUCCUGCUGCAUGGUGGGGGUUGGAAAGUUUCGGCGGUUGGGGAUGGACUCGCGGCUUAUCAGCUUGUUGGUGGGGUAGUGGCCUACCAAGGCUUUGACGGGUAGCCGGCCUGAGAGGGUGACCGGCCACAUUGGGACUGAGAUACGGCCCAGACUCCUACGGGAGGCAGCAGUGGGGAAUAUUGCACAAUGGGCGGAAGCCUGAUGCAGCAACGCCGCGUGCGGGGUGACGGCCUUCGGGUUGUAAACCGCUUUCGCCUGUGACGAAGCGUGAGUGACGGUAAUGGGUAAAGAAGCACCGGCUAACUACGUG